Magnolia sinica is the source of this 108-nucleotide small nucleolar RNA. Lineage: Eukaryota; Viridiplantae; Streptophyta; Magnoliopsida; Magnoliales; Magnoliaceae. The record is from RefSeq and is a predicted model, not a curated record.
UAGCCAUGAUGUAGGCAAGCAUUUAGAAGAUCAUUGAAUCUUUCCCUGCAUUGAAAGAAGGUUUCUUCCUCUUUUUGUGAAAAAAUCAUGAUCGCCCUCCUUAAGGUA